This 1541-nucleotide ribosomal RNA is filed under the name metagenome. RNAcentral's name for it is "bacterial SSU rRNA". It matches the Rfam family "Bacterial small subunit ribosomal RNA". The record is from RNAcentral.
AGAGUUUGAUUCUGGCUCAGAACGAACGCUGGCAGCGUGGAUUAGGCAUGCAAGUCGAACGGGAACCUGGGUAUUCAAAGAGCAAUCUGAGGACGCCCGGGGGAGAGUGGCGGAAGGGUGAGGAACACGUGGGUAAUCUGCCCUUAAGUUGGGGAUAACUCCGCGAAAGCGAAGCUAAUACCGAAUGUGGUUUUCCGGCGCAUGUCGGAAGUACUGAAGACGGGGAUCCGCAAGGACCUGUCGCUUGAGGAGGAACCCGCGUCCUAUCAGCUAGUUGGUGGGGUAACGGCUCACCAAGGCUUUGACGGGUAGCUGGUCUGAGAGGAUGGUCAGCCACACUGGGACUGAGACACUGCCCAGACUCCUACGGGAGGCUGCAGUCGAGGAUCAUUUGCAAUGGGCGAAAGCCUGACAGUGCGACGCUGCGUGGAGGAUGACGGCCUUCGGGUUGUAAACUCCUGUCAUUCGGGAACAAUGGCGGGGCGGUGAAUAGUCGUUCCGCGUGAUGGUACCGGAAGAGGAAGCCACGGCUAACUCUGUGCCAGCAGCCGCGGUAAUACAGAGGUGGCGAGCGUUGUUCGGAUUUACUGGGCGUAAAGGGUGCGUAGGUGGUUCCGUACGUCGGAUGUGAAAGCCCACCGCUCAACGGUGGAAAGGCGCCCGAAACUGCGGGACUUGAGUGCAGGAGGGGAGAGCGGAAUUCUUGGUGUAGCGGUGAAAUGCGUUGAUAUCAAGAAGAAAGCCGGUGGCGAAGGCGGCUCUCUGGAAUGCAACUGACACUGAGGCACGAAAGCCGGGGGAGCAAACAGGAUUAGAUACCCUGGUAGUCCCGGCCCUAAACGGUGUGCACUUGGUGUGGGGGGAAUUGACCCCUCCCGUGCCGGAGCUAACGCGUUAAGUGCACCGCCUGGGGAGUACGGCCGCAAGGCUAAAACUCAAAGAAAUUGACGGGGGCCCGCACAAGCGGAGGAGCAUGUGGCUUAAUUCGAUGCAACGCGAAGAACCUUACCAGGGCUUGACAUGCAGCUGCACGUCCGCCGAAAGGUGGAAAGCCUUCGAGGGUGCUGCACAGGUGCUGCAUGGCUGUCGUCAGUUCGUGCCGUGAGGUGUUGAGUUAAGUCUCGCAACGAACGCAACCCUUGUGCUUAGUUGCCACCCCCGAUGAUGAGUCGGGGAGCACUCUAGGCAGACUGCCCGUGCAAGCGGGAGGAAGGUGGGGAUGACGUCAAGUCAGUAUGGCCUUUAUGCCCUGGGCUGCACACGUGCUACAAUGGGGGGAACAGAAGGACGCAAGACCGCGAGGUGGAGCAAAUCCUGAAACCCCUCCUCAGUUCAGAUUGAAGGCUGCAACUCGCCUUCAUGAAGUUGGAUUCGCUAGUAACGGCGCAUCAGCUACGGCGCCGUGAAUACGUUCCCGGGCCUUGUACACACCGCCCGUCACAUCAUGAAAGCCGUCUGCACCCGAAGUCGCCGCACGAACCCGAAAGGGACGGAGGCGCCUAAGGUGUGGGUGGUGAUUGGGAUGAAGUCGAAACAAGGUA